This 926-nucleotide non-coding RNA is filed under the name Pithecopus megacephalus (large-headed leaf frog). RNAcentral's name for it is "partial 12S ribosomal RNA". It matches the Rfam family "Bacterial small subunit ribosomal RNA", at positions 327 to 1522 of the family's 1533-position model. Lineage: Eukaryota; Metazoa; Chordata; Amphibia; Anura; Hylidae. The record is from RNAcentral.
UGGUCCUAACCCUAAAGUCAACUCGUAUUCAACUUACACAUGCAAGUUUCAGCACCCCCGUGAGAACGCCCUAAACCUCCUAUUUGGAGGAAGGAGCUGGUAUCAGGCACACUAUAUAGCCCAAAACACCUAGCUACGCCACAUCCUCAAGGAACCCUCAGCAGUGACCAGUAUUGAAAAUAUGCGACAGCAAGAUUCAGUUAGAGUACAGAGAGCCGGCAAAAUUGGUGCCAGCCGCCGCGGUUACACCAAUAGACUCUAGUUGACCCUAUCGGCGUAAAGCGUGAUUAAAGUUUUUCCCCCAUUAAAGAUGAAAUCCUCACUAAGCUGUGACACGCUUGUGCAUGAGAAAGCCAGAAACGAAAGUUACUUUAAUUUAACCCACUUGAAUUCACGACAGUUAAGACACAAACUGGGAUUAGAUACCCCACUAUGCUUAAUCGUAAACUUUAAAUUACAACAUAAACGCCAGAGAACUACGAGCAAAGCUUAAAACUCAAAGGACUUGACGGUACCCCACAUCCACCUAGAGGAGCCUGUCCUAUAAUCGAUAACCCCCGCUUUACCUCACCAUUUUUAGUUAGUCAGUCUGUAUACCUCCGUCGUCAGCUUACCACGUGAGCGAACCAUAGUAAGCCUAAUGCCAAUGCGCCAAUACGUCAGGUCAAGGUGCAACUAAAAAAAUGUGGAAGAGAUGGGCUACACUCUCUAAUUUAGAAAACACGAAAAACUUUAUGAAAUCUAGUUAGAAGGCGGAUUUAGCAGUAAAAAGAAACUAGAGAGUUCUUUUUAAUACGGCACUGGGGUGUGUACACACCGCCCGUCACCCUCUUCAAGACCCUAACUUCAUAGUAUCUAACUAAUUCCCUACUUUAAGAAGAGGUAAGUCGUAACAUGGUAAGUAUACCGGAAGGUGUGCUUGGAAA